CAGCCGCCACGGGAAUACGGAGGGUGCAAGCGUUAAUCGGAAUUACUGGGCGUAAAGCGCACGCAGGCGGUCUGUCAAGUCAGAUGUGAAAUCCCCGGGCUUAACCUGGGAACUGCAUUUGAAACUGGCAGGCUAGAGUCUUGUAGAGGGGGGUAGAAUUCCAGGUGUAGCGGUGAAAUGCGUAGAGAUCUGGAGGAAUACCGGUGGCGAAGGCGGCCCCCUGGACAAAGACUGACGCUCAGGUGCGAAAGCGUGGGGAGCAAACAGGAUUAGAUACCCGUGUAGUCCCUGUCUCUUAUAA
This 301-nucleotide ribosomal RNA is filed under the name uncultured bacterium. Its description in RNAcentral is "partial 16S ribosomal RNA". It matches the Rfam family "Bacterial small subunit ribosomal RNA", at positions 509 to 809 of the family's 1533-position model. The record is from RNAcentral.